This 253-nucleotide ribosomal RNA is filed under the name uncultured bacterium. RNAcentral's name for it is "partial 16S ribosomal RNA". It matches the Rfam family "Bacterial small subunit ribosomal RNA", at positions 524 to 776 of the family's 1533-position model. The record is from RNAcentral.
UACGUAGGGGGCAAGCGUUGUCCGGAUUUAUUGGGCGUAAAGCGCACGCAGGCGGUCUAUCAAGUCUGACGUGGAAUCUCUCGGCUUAACCGGGAGCGGUCGUUGGAAACUGAUGGACUUGAGGCGAUGAGAGGGGUGUGGAAUUCCCGGUGUAGUGGUGGAAUGCGUAGAUAUCGGGAGGAACAUCAGUGGCGAAAGCGGCACCCUGGCAUUAGCCUGACGCUCAUGUGCGAAAGCGUGGGGAGCGAACGGG